AAGAUGCGCACGAGCGCGGUGAUUUCGGGUUUCUUAGUUUUUUUUUCCUUCCCGUUUGCCGCAGCGUGCAGCCGUGCCUUUUCCCCUCCCCGCCGACGGCAACCAGCGUGCGCGCAGCUCGCCUUGGUGCAUGUACUUGUUGCCUCGGAAACGUGUGUGUGUGUGAGACAGCGGGCGCAGGCCUCGCAUCCCAGGCUAGCAUACAUCUUCGCACACACGCCUAACACGUACUAUUCCGUUUUAACUGCAUACAAACACACACAUAGACACACCAGCGCGCACACAGGAGUGGUGGUUGAUCUACGUUGGGUCUCUUGCUUCUUCUCUCUCCAAUCCGUUCAUAUCCCGAGUUCUGUGCAGACUGGCGCAGCAAGUCUGCGAGAUAGAACAGUGCCUUGCUUGGGUUGUGAGCGCACAAGGUCGCAUACUCGCACUAAACAAAGGCAGGCGAUUCAUUGGCAGCUGAGUGGUACGAUCGACGAUGUCGAGGUAUCAAUGCUCCCUGUGCCAGUUGGAGACGCUGGAGAAUGAUCUGAACUUCUGCGUCUGCUGCCGCGCUGCCGUCUGCGCGAAGUGUACUCUAGCAUGCUACCCGAACCGCAAGAGCGUAGGCCUCUGCGUGCGGUGCACACCACCCGACUACGGCUUCGCCUGCGGGCGGUGCCGCCGGCACAUUUCGUACGGAGACAUUGAAUUCUUCUGCGACAUGUGCGCCGUCCCCAUCUGCUUUACUUGUGUAGCGAGCGGUACUAGCUUCGAGUGUGGUCAGCUGAAAUGUAGUCUGUGCUGCGAGUGCCCUAUGUCACAGGCACCGCGUAAUCUGGUGGUCCGCCACGAGGUGGAUGACGCCAUGCUGCGCCAGCUCCCGAUACCGCUCGUUUCAAGUGCGACACCGUUGGCGGCGCCGCCUCCGCAAGCGCGCGCGGCGGCCGCGGCGGUGGCAGCGACAAAGAGCACCAAAUACCGAAAGCUGUUUGGGCGAGAGAAGCUCGGCGAGGGUGCGCAGGGUGUUGUGUACAAGUGUCACACGGAGGAGAACGAGGUGGUUGUAGUGAAGGAGAUGGUGUUCAACGAUACAGAUGUCACCGCCUUCGAGGCACAGGCACGGCAAGUCGAACGCAUGCGCCAGCUGAACCACCCUCAUCUCAUCCGCUACCUCGAUGUGUCGGUCCAGAAGGACCCACUACGCAUCUGCGUGGUUAUGCCUUUCUACAGCGAGGGCGAUUUGAAAAAGUUCAUUGAAAGGCAGCGCAAACCGGUGACGGAGGUAAAGCUGUGCUCCAUUGUUCUGCAGAUUGCCGGCGCCCUGAACUACCUGCAUCGACAAGAACCUCCGCUUGUUCAUCGAGACAUCAAGCCUGAGAACAUCCUGCUGCUGAACCACGAGGAGCAGGUUCUGUUGAUGGAUCUGGAUCUCUGUCGAACAGUAGACGUAACGGCGAGCGUCAUCAAGCGGCGCGAGUUGUCGCCAACGUAUGAGUACCGCGCACCAGAGCUGGAGAAGAGUCACGGCGAUACCAAAGCGGACGUGUUUAGCCUUGGUGUGGUGAUGUUCGUGCUUGCCACACUGCCAGACUUUCCAUGCGUGCGUACAGACUCCGGCGAGAUGCUGGUUUUCUCUGCCUCUAAGUGGUCUCCAUCGUCACUGAAGCGCGCUAUUCAGCGCGAAAUCAGGCGUGUGCAGCGGUACACCUACUCGGAGGAGUUUAUCCGCUUAGUCGUGGCGAUGCUUGUCCACCAGCCCGCCGCACGUCCCACGUCGGGGGCGGUCAUCUACCGCCUGCAGAAGAUCAUGGAGCAACGCCUGAUGGAGGGAAAGGAGUAGUGGCUGCGAAGGUGGAGAAGGCGGCACUGAGGAACGUCGAAAGCUGAAGAUGGGCGAUGAUGCCUUUAUUUGUGCGGACUUGAUGUGCAGGUGCGUCCUUUUUUGUUGUUGGUGGCGUGUGCGUGAGGGGCAGCGGAGGUGAGAGGUGCAUCGAGGAUGAUGGAUGAAGAGACGUAGACCUACACACAUCCCGCAUGGCAGCUUCACUCCCUCUCCCACCCUCCCUACCUUGCGUUGUGCUUUCUGCUGUGGUUUCUCACACGCUCUUUUUCUUGUCGCUGCUUUCAGCCAUUGUUUCGGUGACAGAGGAAGCAGUGCUGCCGUUGUCUUGACAGACGCCUAUUUCGUUGCGUGCUCAUCACGCCGCCGCCGUUUCUAUAACAUACUCACUUGCAGGACUGCAGCAUGGAAGUGGUUGGGUUUUCCUUUAGUUCGUACUUUCUUUUAUGUGGUUGGGCCUCCCUGUGUGUACCAGUCCGCUGCUGCUGUUUUUUCCUUGUUUCUUUUCUCCUGUCUCCCGCAGAAACGAAAAGUAGACAAGCUCGGCGUGUGAUGGACCCUUUCCCUGCUCCUCUGAGGCAUGCACGCCCAUCCCCCUUGACCCCACGCCUGUGUACUCCUCUUGCUAUACAAUCCUUCUCCCGCUAAACGUAUAGACAAGCAAAGAUGUACGCAUGCCUCCAGCUGUCCUUGCACAUCCCAUUGCCUUGUCUUCGUUUGCCUCUAUGUCUUCGGGUCUGUGAGCUCUCCCUUUUCUCGCCCGCUCGCCCCGGAGUCAUCAGUUGUGUUUCUGGAGAAGCUGCACCCAUCUCCCUCCCCUUGCCUUUCUAUCUGGGUGUUGCCCACGUCCCCAUUCUCGUUGCCUCCCCCUUUUUUUUUCAG
Molecule: unclassified non-coding RNA, 2707 nt
Filed under: Leishmania donovani
Lineage: Eukaryota; Euglenozoa; Kinetoplastea; Trypanosomatida; Trypanosomatidae
Description: gene:LdHU3.29.3850(CDS-product:protein_kinase_put ative)
Source: RNAcentral